ACAUCCAGAGAACUUAGCAGAGAUGCUUUGGUGCCUUCGGGAACUCUGAGACAGGUGCUGCAUGGCUGUCGUCAGCUCGUGUUGUGAAAUGUUGGGUUAAGUCCCGNAACGAGCGCAACCCCUAUCCUUUGUUGCCAGCGAUUCGGUCGGGAACUCAAAGGAGACUGCCGGUGAUAAACCGGAGGAAGGUGGGGAUGACGUCAAGUCAUCAUGGCCCUUACGAGUAGGGCUACACACGUGCUACAAUGGCGCAUACAAAGAGAAGCGACCUCGCGAGAGCAAGCGGACCUCAUAAAGUGCGUCGUAGUCCGGAUUGGAGUCUGCAACUCGACUCCAUGAAGUCGGAAUCGCUAGUAAUCGUAGAUCAGAAUGCUACGGUGAAUACGUUCCCGGGCCUUGUACACACCGCCCGUCACACCAUGGGAGUGGGUUGCAAAAGAAGUAGAUAGCUUAACCUUCGGGAGGGCGUUUACCACUUUGUGAUUCAUGACUGGGGUGAAGUCGUAACAAGGUAGGCGUACGUGU
RNAcentral lists this ribosomal RNA (525 nucleotides) under uncultured bacterium. RNAcentral's name for it is "bacterial SSU rRNA". It matches the Rfam family "Bacterial small subunit ribosomal RNA", at positions 984 to 1509 of the family's 1533-position model. The record is from RNAcentral.